UAAUACGAAGGGGGCUAGCGUUGUCCGGAAUUACUGGGCGUAAAGCGCGCGUAGGCGGCUACGCAAGUCGGGCGUGAAAGCCCAGGGCUCAACCCUGGAAAUGCGCCCGAGACUGCGUGGCUUGAGACCGGGAGAGGAGAGUGGAAUUCCCAGUGUAGAGGUGAAAUUCGUAGAUAUUGGGAAGAACACCGGUGGCGAAGGCGGCUCUCUGGUCCGGUUCUGACGCUGAGGCGCGAAAGCGUGGGGAGCAAACAGGAUUAGAUACCCUGGUAGUCCACGCCGUAAACGAUGAGUGCCAGACGUCGGGGGGCUCGCCCUUCGGUGUCGACGCUAACGCAUUAAGCACUCCGCCUGGGGAGUACGGCCGCAAGGUUA
Molecule: ribosomal RNA, 375 nt
Filed under: uncultured bacterium
Lineage: Bacteria
Description: bacterial SSU rRNA
Rfam family: Bacterial small subunit ribosomal RNA
Source: RNAcentral